RNAcentral lists this long non-coding RNA (6905 nucleotides) under Coffea arabica (coffee). Its description in RNAcentral is "long non-coding RNA (CARA_LNC005327)". Lineage: Eukaryota; Viridiplantae; Streptophyta; Magnoliopsida; Gentianales; Rubiaceae. The record is from RNAcentral.
UGGGGGAUGGAAUAGUUUUUUAGUUUAGGUUUUUAGCAUAGUUUUAGUUUUCUUUUCUUAGCUCUUUCGCAUGGUUGUUCUCCAUUAAUGGAGAACUAACCUCUUAUUUCUAGUCAAGGGACAACUGAAGACUUGGUUCAACAAUUAUUGUGAGAUCGAAUUUAUUUUAAUUGUUUCCUCCAUUUAUUGGUAUUCAUAUGUUUCCUGCUUUUAAUUGUUAUAGCUUUUGUGUAUGAUUGGUUAGUGCGCAAUAAUUAAUUAUUCACAUAGGCUGUUUUGCUAUAUAGGGGUAAUUGAAUCCGUAAUUGUUCGUUAUCUCUAUCCCACUAGCAACUGGCAUAAUUGGAUUUGUGUCAGGGGAAUAUUUGAUCUGGCUUAAAUAAACCCUCGUAGCGUGUUUGUUAGUUAGGAUUGGGCCUUUCUAAUUAUUAAUGCAACCUAGAAAUUGAAUCCUACGGUCGUACCUAGGGUUGUUUUUGGGUUAGAGAAAUAGCUAACGGUCGUACCUUAGCUAUCGAUAAAUUAAGGAAGGGUUGGUUGUUUAGCGCGUGCGAGACAACUAGAACCAAUCUAUUAGUAAAGGUUGGAAUUAUUUUUGCAUCGAUGAUCAGUGCAUGAACCAUUUCUGAAGUGUACCCUUGGCUAGAGUUUCUCUUAAUUAUUUCUUUUAUUUAUUUUCUGCAUUUAAUUUAUUUAGUUAGCAUUUAAUCCAAAAAUCCCCCCAUACUUUGAACUCUAGAAGAAACGAAUUAUCCCCAGUCCCUGUGGAUUCGACCCUACUCACCGCUAUAUACAAAAUCUGUAUUUUUCUCGAGUAGGUAUUUAUUAUUGUACAGGUUCGGCACCUGUCAAUUUUUGGCGCCGUUGCCGGGGACUGGUGCCAGAUUAAUUUGUUUCUUUUCGAGUUCACCUUGUUUUUAUUUCUUAUUUUUUUUAUUUAUUUUUCUCUUAUUUUUUUUUAUUAUAGUUUAUGGCUUCUAACACUCCGUAUUUUGGUGAUAGACUGGAUUUUGUUUCCGGGGAAGGCGAUGAGACUAGUUUUUUUGCUAAGUUUGCAUAUUCAGAGGCAGUAAACUCUAUUAGAGAAAGAAUGGCUGCUGCAACCUGUGAAAUUUGUUAUGCCAGAGAUCAUUCGACCGGUAUGUGCCCCGAAUAUCAGGAUAAUCUGAGUGUCCCACUCAAUAAUUAUGGAGAUUUUUCACCAUGGUCUCAAACGUGGUAUAACCCUAAUCCAAACGGGUAUGAUCAAGGAUGGUGGGAUAACUCCAGUUAUAAUUAUACAACAGGGCCACUAGAUUUUCAACAGCUAGAGUCUCAAGAACCGUCAUCCAUGUCAGAUAUGUCUCUUGAAGAAAUAGUUGAAUCACUAGCUACUAACACAUAUCUAAUUCAACAGGAGACAUAUCAAAUUCAACAGGAGGUACAUCAACUUCAACAGGAGACAUAAAAGAUGAGUGAAGAGAUGAAAGAAGGAAGGCGUGAAUGGGCAUCUAAAAUAAGCAAAUUGAUUUCUCCAGUUUAUGAAGAAUUGCCCUCACCGACUAUUAUCGACCAUGAGCAAGAUGAGAGUGCAAUUAUUCUGACAAAUGACAUGGUACUGCAAGGGUCUCAAGAAGAAGAAUCUAAAGAUGCAGAUGAAAAGAAAGUUGAAGCACAAGAAUUGAGACCCCAACAUCAAAUGGUUCAAGUGAAUGAAUCCAGUGAACAAUCUCCAAAUGCGGUGACAUCUCCUCCAUUCCUUAAUGAAUAUUUUCCUGACUCUUAUUUUUUAAUUCCUGUUAGUGAGAUUGAUUUUAUUAUACCAGAAAAUUUUGAGUUUCAUGACAGGAACAAUUUAAGAGUCACGAUGGCAAAAUAUCUCAAACCAGCAAGUGCUUGUGAUGGAGGAGUGAAUGAAGAUUUAAGAUCAUCACUUGUUUGUUUGGUGCCAUUUACUAGUCCAUGGAAGCCCGUAGCUCGUGUGCCCAAGAAUUACUCUAUUUACGAGGGCUAUCAGGAUUACAUAGAAGAUGAAGCACUGAAACGAGCCACAAGAUUUUAUCCUCCAUGAAUACACAUGAAAAUGUCUAGCCAAAGACAUUAAAGAAGGGCGCUACUUGGGAGGCAACCCAAGACUAUUUGUUUUAGUUUUCGUGCAUUUUUUAAGUUUUAGUUAAGUGUUAGUGUCAAUUAAUGGUUUGAUGUUUGGUGGCAGGGAAUUAGCGGUUAGGCGUGCCCACGCCAGGUGGUCAUGCCUGAAGAAAAGGAAUUUUCGCUCAGGUUCUGCGAACUCCAUAGUAGUUAGACGUGCCCACGCCAGAUGGUCACGCCUGACGGAGGAAAUUUUCGAUCAGGUUCUGCGGGCUCUAUGGCAGUUAGGCGUGCUCACGCCUAGGCCAGAGGCUCCUUAUUCUAAAAAAAAAAAAAAGAGAAAAAAUUUUUUUUUUUUUUUUUACAAAAGCAAUUUCAAUUUUUGGAGAAUUUCGGUAAGACUAGUUAAAAAAAAAAAACAUUUUAUUUUCUUUUUCUUCUUUUCUUCUUUCUUUUCUUUUCUUUCUUUCUUUCUUCUUUUUCUUUCUUUCUUCUUCCCCGCUGCUUUCCCUUUCCCCCUGUCCUUUUCUACUUCAGCCGCAGCCUCCAUGCUCCAUGCCAUUAGAUCGCACGCCAUCAGCUCGCGGCCAAGCCGCGUCUCUCCUCCACUCUCACCUUCCAGGAGCGCCGCCCCCUCAGCUUAGCUCGCCGCACCCCACCCACGGCCUGCUCCAUCACCGUGCGCCUCCUCCAGCUUCGUCCGCCGCACGCCGCGGCUCCCUUCCCCAUCACGCGCAGCUCCUCCUGAGCUCGCGCGCCUCCACCGCCACCAGGAGCUCGCUGCGCCUCUCUUCACUGACCAGCUGCGCCUCACCACCAGCUCUUCAGCCCUUCACCUGCGCGAGAAGCCGCCGCCUCGGCUCGCCACUCCGCCGCUGCCAUCGCGACAGCCCACGAGCCCCGCCGAUUUCUCCCUCUCUCUGCCGCACGUCACCUCAACCCCAGCUCAUCCGCCUCACGUGCACCUCCUCCGUCGCGCCCCAGCUUCAACCCGCGCCGCCCUCCAGCCAGCUCCACCUCUGCACCUCCAAGCUCCACCGCCAGUCCACACAGCGCAAGCCACCUGUCAAAUUUCUUUGACAGGUGGAGGUAUUGAAUUCUUCCCCAAAUUAGUUUCACUCUCUGAAAGUUGUGGUUGAAUUUCUUGAUGAAUAGACGAAGGUGAUAAUUUGGGCAUUUUCUAGGGUAAAUUUUGAACAGAGUUGGGUUUAAUUGCUGACAUAGUGGGGAUAUUUUCUGCUAUUAUUUGAAUUUUUGGCCGGUUGAUUAAUUUUUCCCUGUGACUCACCAGUGGUACUGGUUGAUUAAUUUUAAAGUUUAAGUUCUUGCGGUUGUGUUACUGCCAUUGAAUUUAAUUCUUUCCUGUCUGUGCACCAGUGGUACUGGUUGCAGUGUUGCUUUCCAGUUCUUAAUCCUCUGUGCUGGACUGCCUAUUCGAUUCUUGAGUUUUGGUGCCUGAACUGUCUCUCGAUUCUUACCAUUAGUUGCUGGAAUUGCUGGUUUCUUGGGUCAUUUGCUAAUUUUGGUGGGUUUAACUGGGGACAGUUGUUGAGAUUUUGGGUGGGUUUGUGUCCAAUUGCUGAAAUUUGUUGCGUUGUUUAGUCACUCGCACUGCUCCUAGUUGGUUCGAGUAAAACUGGUUGGACGUCCCUAGCCCGUGGAGUUUAACUGUUACAUUGUUUGGGGUGAUUUUCUGGUAUUGAUCGAAUUGUUGGGCAUUAUUUGGGGGUUUUGGCUGCUUGAGACCUCUAUUGCACCUUUAGUUGAGUAAUUUUCUGGAUUGGUUUGUUGAAUUAGUAUUGCCAUUGGUUGACUCUAAGUACCUUGUUUGGGGAGUAUUCAGUUUUGUGAUUUCAAUUGCUAAGCUCAUUGGAGCACUUGCCGAGAUUUUGAGUUGCAUGAUUUCUGCAUUGACUAAUAUUCGGACCACCAUUGCUUAUUGUUUGUAAUAGCUGCUUUGUUGAGAUUUUCGCCUAGUCCUUAGGUGCCUGAAGUUUCCAUUUUCUUGAUUGGGGUGGCCGUUUAUGUUGCUUCAUUAUCUGAGGGAUGCACCAGUGGUACUGGUUGGGGUAUUAUAACUACAUUUGUUGCCACUUGGUUCUAGUUGGUGGGCUACUUGAUCGAAAACUGCCAAACAUUUUGAUUUAGUUGUAGUCCAAAAUUUGAACUACUAUUGCUGGUUUUGACGGUUUCUUGGCUCAUUUGCUAAUUUCGGUUGGUUGAGUUGUGUAAUUUCUUAUCCAAUUGGAGCCAUUUGGACAGAUUUUGGGUGGACAAGUUUUGUCGCUCUCUGUUGAUCUUUGGGAGGCAUUUCUGACCGUAUUCUACGUAUUCAAAUUGGUUGAAUUCACUGCUUUGUCGAGGUUAUUUUUGGUAUCACUUGAGUUCUACUUUGUUGAUUUCUGUCUUGCGUCCCUUGAAGUGCCUUUGGUUGGGUAUUUUCUUCAUUUGUUUGAUUGAAUUGGAAGGCUACUGUGCCACUUCCAUUGCUUAUUGCUGUUGGUGGCGUCUAAUUGACUUGCUGGGAGUAUUUUACCUAUUGAUUUCAAUUGCUAAAUCUUUAGAGCAUUUGUUGCGAGUUUGGACUACAUUGUUCCUGCAUUUGACCCAACUGGGGCCACCAGUGAGUAUUGAUUGAAAUUGCUGUAUUGUUGGGACUACAUUGAAAAGGUGCCUGGGUUGUGCAUUUUGUUGAUUGGGUUGUCUACGAGGGAGGCACCACUGGCUAUUAAAUUGUUAUUGUUUUGAAUUUGCUAAGUGGCCUCUCCCACCGAUGGCCGCUGAUGCCCAGUGGAUGAGCGAGUAAUGCAUAUCGCCAACCAGGUGGCUCCAAUCCCUAAGAACCUGGCCGCGUAUUUCCACCUAAACCGCCCCUAUUUUGAUGACUUCAGGGAAGUACCGUUGCCCCUCUCCUUCCUUCUGCUUUUACAUUAUCACAUUGAGGGCAAUGUGUCAUUUAGGUGUGGGGGGGAGAUCAGUUGGGAUGCUAGUAUUUUUUUUGUUUGUAGUUUCUAGGGGCUUGUCCUUUAUUUUUAGUUAGUUUUUGCCUAUCUUUCAUUUAUUUUAUUUUCUUUUUCUUUCUAGUGGUCAGUUCUUAUUUGAAUACCAAGUUUGAUGUUGGAUUGUUGUUUCUAAUUCUGCUAUUGCCAAGUUUAUUGAUAAAAAGGUAUUGAGUUAAGGUGGUUGAGUUCAGGAACAUCUUUUUGGUGAAUAUCAAUAAUUACUUGACUUUUCUAAUUUUUAGUUAACUUUUCUAGGUAUAGGGAAUGAUUAUUGGCAUUUUUCUUGUGAAUUGGUCCAAUUAUUAAUUCUAGUUCUUCAUGUUUGGAAAUUUGAGGCUGGCUUCUGUUAUUCAUGUGUUGUUUUUAGAUAUUGUGUUAUUUGGUUAUAAAUAAGAGUUGACAGUACUCCGCUAGUAGUUACUACUGAGUAACCGGGGAUUUUCACCUAAAAGUGUUGAUUCUCGCGUCAAAAAGUAGUAAUUGCUAUGAGUACGUGGUCACGUGGCGAUAGAAGCUGAGUAACCGGGCUCCUUCAUCUGGCCAAUGUUGGAGUUCGCGUCAAAAAGCUCAAAUGGCUAGCGACUAAGUCUUUUGCUACAAAAAAAAAAUGAAAAAAAGGGAAGGUUGUGUUAGUGUGUAAUAAAAGUCAGCUUGCCGAAUUAUGGACUUAAUGUUGAGAUUUUGGUUAAUAGUUGGACCAUUUACUGAUAAAUGUGAGCAACCAUUCCUUUUUCUUAGAUUAGUUUGCUUUAAAUUGGAGGAGUUGGUGGUUGAGAAACUAACCGGAGUGGUUUUUCUUGGAUCUUAACUGUGAUGCUUGAUAUAUGUUUUUCUGGGUAUUUUGGCAAUAUGAUAGUUAGAGCAAUAGCCAUAGUCAAAUUUUGGUGUUCAAUUGCUGUUCUUAUGCUUGAGGACAAGCAUGAUUUAGGUGUGGGGGGAAUUGAUAGGGUGUUAAUUGUUGGUUAUUUUAUUGCUAAUUUUCCCCUUUAUCCUUGCCAAAUAUUGUUUUAAUUAUUAAUAUUUAUUUAUAUUUGGUAUUGGACUCAAUUUCAGGGAAUAGAGCAGAAAACUACAAAAAAGGAGGUACUUUUUGGAGAAUAUGGAGACUUCUAAAUACUCCACAGACUUGGCCCACAUUGCUAAGAAGGACCGGAUUUCCAUUGACCUUUUUGCUGACUAGGAGUCCUACCAAGAGUAAACAUGAUACAAGGAAUGGCGCAGGACCUUCUUUGGAGCAUUUGGACUCUCAAUUUUGGUGGGACCAGCGAGAUAAGAAGCCUUAGUCAUUAGGAACGUACAGAGGCUUAAAAUCAAGAAGCAAUUCGGAUGGGCCCCACCUUGUGGAAGAGUUUCCUUCUUGGACUUUAACUCUCAAUUCGUGCGGGGACCACGAAAAAGGCGGAAAGCAUUAGACUUUCUUUUGGCUUUAAAAAGGGAGAAACGUGCAGAAGGUGGGGGAUGGAAUAGUUUUUUAGUUUAGGUUUUUAGCAUAGUUUUAGUUUUCUUUUCUUAGCUCUUUCGCAUGGUUGUUCUCCAUUAAUGGAGAACUAACCUCUUAUUUCUAGUCAAGGGACAACUGAAGACUUGGUUCAACAAUUAUUGUGAGAUCGAAUUUAUUUUAAUUGUUUCCUCCAUUUAUUGGUAUUCAUAUGUUUCCUGCUUUUAAUUGUUAUAGCUUUUGUGUAUGAUUGGUUAGUGCGCAAUAAUUAAUUAUUCACAUAGGCUAUUUUGCUAUAUAGGGGUAAUUGAAUCCGUAAUUGUUCGUUAUCUCUAUCCCAGUAGCAACUGGCAUAAUUGGAUUUGUGUCAGGGGAAUAUUUGAUCUGGCUUAAAU